UGGGGAGGCCGCUGUUGGAUUCCCCUGGAGGGGACGGCCGGAAGCGCAUUACGUCCCGAACGCUUCCUGGCACGGCCCUCGGAAGGGAGCAUUCGCUUUCAAGCCUGCCCACAAGUCGGAAGCGGACGUUGCCGGGGUCGAAUCGAGGUGGAGACGGCCG
This 160-nucleotide non-coding RNA is filed under the name Chloroparvula japonica. The record is from RNAcentral. Lineage: Eukaryota; Viridiplantae; Chlorophyta; Chloropicophyceae; Chloropicales; Chloropicaceae.